This 2064-nucleotide long non-coding RNA is filed under the name Phaseolus vulgaris (common bean). RNAcentral describes it as "long non-coding RNA (PVUL_LNC004543)". Lineage: Eukaryota; Viridiplantae; Streptophyta; Magnoliopsida; Fabales; Fabaceae. The record is from RNAcentral.
CACCUCCCAAAAGAAAACUAGAUUUGACAGAAACGAGAUACAGAGCGAGAUUAUACAAUAUUCAUAUCCAUAUGUUUUAUUUCAAAUGUAUUAAAAGGGGGCUGUUAAUAUACUCAUACUUGUUUUUUAGGAGUUUAUUAGCAGGAUAAACCUCUGCGAGUAUUUAAAUAAGUCCAAGUUGUAAUUUCCCAAAAUACUCCAUCUAAAAAACAGAGAAGUAUACUAGUCUGAGUGGGUGCUAAUAUACUCCUAUUUGUUUUAUAGGAUUACUUUAAUGAAUCCAAUUCUUAAAAUGCUGGCUUAAUCUUUAUAAAACACAAAAAAGUAUCUUAGCAAGCUCAGUAUUGAAAUUUUCCUCUUUCGGAUGGAGAGGGACAGCAAAGCAUAUAUGUGUCAAAUAUCAAUGAAUUCAUACCAGAUCUUUCUUCUUGCCAGUACCACCCUUCCUAACCUUGGCUUCUGUUAUCCACCCAGGUGGUAAAUCCUCAACUUGGGACUUCUUGUCCGAAUCCUAAAACAUUUCCAAAACUAAAAUAUAUUGAAAAACAGUUGUAUCACAAUAACAUAAUUUUCAAAGUUCUAAUAGUAUUCAAUGGACAAAAUAGAAAUUCAUCCAAUCCAAUGAUCAAUUUCACUAACGAUAUUUUAAAAUGUACAAUACCGGAUCUAUCCUUUUGCCGUUACUGCCCUUCCUAAUUUUGACUUUUGUUAAAUGCCCAGGUGGUAAAUCCUCUAUGAUGGACUUCUCAACAGCAUUCUAAAAUAAAUUUCCAAAAAUUAUAAGGAGUGCAUAUUCGAAAACAAGUUUGUCAAGAUAACUCAUAGCUUCCAAGUUCUAAUAAUACUAAAUUUAUUCAAGAAUCAGUUUGAUGAACAAUAUUUUAAAAGGUACAUGAUAUUUUUUUUAUCUUUUUACUGGAUCCAUAGCUACCUUGAUUAAUAGUUUUAGAACACAAGCUUAAUUCAGAUAAUAAUAACUACACCUAUUUACUUAUGCAGGGGCAUAGAUUAAUAGAGAAAAACCUAUGCACUGACAGGGUAAAAUAAUUUUAUACAGUCAUCAUAUAAAAUCCACCAUGUAUAGUAAGUUUGUUGAUUUUUACAAUAAUUAUCUUCGAAGUCAUACCAGCAAUCAUUUACAAUUGGAUGACAAUGUAAAACUAUUUUACACUGUCAGUGCAUGAAUAUUAAACUUAUCUAUUGAUCAGAUUGCUAUCAAACAAUGUGAUUGACAGAGUUUUCUUUCCUUUUAAUCUUUUAAUAGUUAACAGUUAGAAGCAAUGGGAAUUAGUAAUAGUUGAUAAAAGCUACCAUUGUCAGAUAGUAUAAUUCAUAUUGAGUAGACAAGCCUUACAGAUACUUUGUCUUCAUCUUGGUUUUGUCGUUUAAAUGGUUUAAUCGCACACGCACUUAUAUCACCAGACUUAACAUAGCGCAGUGCAUCCUUCUUGGAGCGAAAGACAUAUCCACUCACCGGAUCUAUAUAAAACUGUGGGAAGUAUAACCCAAUCAUAAUUUUACAUAAGUACUAAACAUUUUUCUACAGCAAUAUAUUACAAUAUGACGUAAAAAACCAAACUAGAUUUGAUUUGCUAACCACCACCUCCCAAAAGAAGAAAUACAAUUAAAAAAACUAGAUUUGACAGAAAUGAAAGAUUAUAUAAGUCAUAAAUAUCCCUUUUAUUUUGUUUCAAAUGUACCAAAGGGAGGCUGUUAAUAUACUUCCACUUGUUUCUAGGAGUAUUAUAGCAUGCUACACGUCUGACAGUAUUUUAAUAAGUCCAAAAAUAUAAUUUCCUAAAAUACUCCAUCUAGAAACAAGGAAGUAUACUCCCAUAAUUUUUGUAGGAUUAUUUUCAAAAAUUCAAGUUUUAACUUUCUAGCAAGCCCUGUAUUAAAAAAAUCUUCUUUUGGGUGGAGGGGAACAACAAACCGUAUAUCUAUCAAAUAUUGAUGGAAUUUCAUACCAGAUCUUUCCUAUUGCCAGUACCACCCUUCCUAACCUUGGCUUCUAUUGUCCACCCAGGUGGUAAAUCCUCAACUGGGGACUUCUCGACCGUAUCC